This 334-nucleotide ribosomal RNA is filed under the name unidentified low G+C gram-positive bacterium. Its description in RNAcentral is "SSU rRNA". It matches the Rfam family "Bacterial small subunit ribosomal RNA", at positions 1166 to 1498 of the family's 1533-position model. Lineage: Bacteria; Bacillati; Bacillota. The record is from RNAcentral.
GAGGAAGGUGGGGAUGACGUCAAAUCAUCAUGCCCUUUAUGACUUGGGCUACACACGUACUACAAUGGCGUUAAACAAAGAGAAGCAAGACCGCGAGGUGGAGCAAAACUCAGAAACAACGUCCCAGUUCGGACUGCAGGCUGCAACUCGCCUGCACGAAGUCGGAAUUGCUAGUAAUCGUGGAUCAGCAUGCCACGGUGAAUACGUUCCCGGGCCUUGUACACACCGCCCGUCACACCAUGAGAGCCUGGGGGACCCGAAGUCGGUAGUCUAACCGCAAGGAGGACACCGCCGAAGGUAAAACUGGUGAUUGGGGUGAAGUCGUAACAAGGUA